This 1511-nucleotide small RNA is filed under the name Pongo abelii (Sumatran orangutan). RNAcentral describes it as "retained intron". Lineage: Eukaryota; Metazoa; Chordata; Mammalia; Primates; Hominidae. The record is from RNAcentral.
AUUGACUAAACCUAACUAGAAGCCAGAGGCCAAAGGAAUCUGUCGAUAUACAAGCUAGCUUCCCAGUGGAUGGAGCAGGAUGGAGAAGAGGAAGAACGGGCCUGGAGGGACAAAGAAAGGGUUAAAAGAAAAGGUCCAUCCACAUCGUGGCGCUGGGGAACGAGGGGGACACGUUCCACCAGGACAACCGGCCGUCGGGGCUCAUCCGCACUUACCUGGGGAGAAGCCCUCUGGUCUCCGGGGACGAGAGCAGCUUGUUGCUGAACGCGGCCAGCACGGUCGCGCGUCCGGUGUUCACCGAGUAUCAGGCCAGUGCGUUUGGGAAUGUCAAGCUGGUGGUCCACGACUGUCCCGUCUGGGACAUAUUUGACAGUGAUUGGUACACUUCUCGAAAUCUAAUUGGGGGCGCUGACAUCAUUGUGAUCAAAUACAACGUUAAUGACAAGUUUUCAUUCCAUGAAGUAAAGGAUAAUUAUAUUCCAGUGAUAAAAAGAGCAUUAAAUUCAGUUCCAGUAAUUAUUGCUGCUGUUGGUACCAGACAAAAUGAAGAGUUACCUUGUACAUGCCCACUAUGUACCUCAGACAGAGGAAGCUGUGUUAGUACAACUGAAGGGAUCCAACUUGCAAAAGAACUAGGAGCGACCUAUCUUGAACUCCACAGCCUUGAUGACUUCUACAUAGGAAAGUAUUUUGGAGGAGUGUUGGAGUAUUUUAUGAUUCAAGCCUUAAAUCAGAAGACAAGUGAAAAAAUGAAGAAAAGAAAAAUGAGCAACUCGUUUCAUGGAAUUAGACCACCUCAACUUGAACAACCAGAAAAAAUGCCUGUCUUAAAGGCUGAAGCGUCACAUUAUAACUCUGACUUAAAUAACUUGCUCUUCUGCUGCCAGUGUGUGGACGUGGUAUUUUACAACCCCGAUUUAAAGGAAGUUGUAGAGGCCCACAAGAUCGUUCUCUGCGCUGUAAGCCAUGUUUUCAUGCUGCUUUUCAAUGUGAAGAGUCCCACUGACAUUCAGGAUUCCAGUAUCAUCCGAACUACCCAGGAUCUUUUUGCUAUAAACAGAGAUACUGCAUUUCCAGGUGCUAGCCAUGAAUCUUCAGGCAACCCACCAUUACGAGUCAUUGUUAAAGACGCCCUCUUCUGUUCUUGUUUAUCAGACAUCCUUCGCUUCAUUUAUUCAGGUAUCUUGUCAAGUGGUUCUGGUUACUUACAAUCUCAUAAGCUUUGGAAAUGAAACAUGCCUGUGACGCUCAAGGGUACUGAUUAGUUUUACAGUGAUCUUUACCUACCAUCUCAGAUUAAGAUUAUACAUGGAAUAUUAUUUGCUUUAUAUAUAAGAAUUGGUCCAAGCUUUCUGUUUUCCUUACAGAUGUACUUGCCUCAUCUUUUUCCUAUCAAUUUCAUUUUAUUGUGGUAAAAUACAUAGAACAUAAAUUUUACUAUCUUAACCAUUUUUAAGAACACAGUUCAGUGGAAUUAAACACAUUCAUAAUGUUGUGUAACUAUCACCACC